Molecule: transfer RNA, 56 nt
Filed under: Salmo salar (Atlantic salmon)
Lineage: Eukaryota; Metazoa; Chordata; Actinopteri; Salmoniformes; Salmonidae
Rfam family: tRNA
About the family: Transfer RNA (tRNA) molecules are approximately 80 nucleotides in length. Their secondary structure includes four short double-helical elements and three loops (D, anti-codon, and T loops). Further hydrogen bonds mediate the characteristic L-shaped molecular structure. tRNAs have two regions of fundamental functional importance: the anti-codon, which is responsible for specific mRNA codon recognition, and the 3' end, to which the tRNAs corresponding amino acid is attached (by aminoacyl-tRNA synthetases). tRNAs cope with the degeneracy of the genetic code in two manners: having more than one tRNA (with a specific anti-codon) for a particular amino acid; and 'wobble' base-pairing, i.e. permitting non-standard base-pairing at the 3rd anti-codon position.
Source: Rfam by way of RNAcentral
GCUCUGUUGGUAGAGCAUGGUGUUUGCAACGCCAGGGUUGUGGGUUCGAUUCCCAC